AUGUCCGGCUCCGACCUUCAAGGCCGGUGGAUGCCUUCCUCCAUUACGGAAGAAGACGUGCUAAAUUUAAGAGAUGCCAGGUAUCUAACCGGCGAAAUCUCGCAUAGGUUGCCUGCUCAAGGGCAGGUCAUUCCCACUCCCAAGCCUGGUGAGAGCGUGGUGUUCGCGUCUCACUUCCUUCGGGGGCUAAGCUUCCCGAUUGAUCCCUUCUUGAGGGGGCUCAUGUUUUAUUACGGGAUGGAAUUUCACGAGUUAGCUCCGGAGUCCAUCCUCCAUAUCUCAUCGUUCAUUGUCGUGUGCGAGGUCUUCCUCUAUAUUACUCCUCACUUCGGAUUGUGGCUCAAAACCUUCAAAGUAGAGCCGAAUAUGAUCGAGGGGCAGCACGCGGAGUGCGAGGUGCUGUUAUAA
This 408-nucleotide ribosomal RNA is filed under the name Triticum aestivum (bread wheat). Its description in RNAcentral is "partial small subunit ribosomal RNA". Lineage: Eukaryota; Viridiplantae; Streptophyta; Magnoliopsida; Poales; Poaceae. The record is from RNAcentral.